GAUGAACGCUGGCGGCGUGCCUAAUACAUGCAAGUCGAGCGAACGGACGAGAAGCUUGCUUCUCUGAUGUUAGCGGCGGACGGGUGAGUAACACGUGGAUAACCUACCUAUAAGACUGGGAUAACUUCGGGAAACCGGAGCUAAUACCGGAUGAUAUUUUGAACCGCAUGGUUCAAAAGUGAAAGACGGUCUUGCUGUCACUUAUAGAUGGAUCCGCGCUGCAUUAGCUAGUUGGUAAGGUAACGGCUUACCAAGGCAACGAUGCAUAGCCGACCUGAGAGGGUGAUCGGCCACACUGGAACUGAGACACGGUCCAGACUCCUACGGGAGGCAGCAGUAGGGAAUCUUCCGCAAAGGGCGAAAGCCUGACGGAGCAACGCCGCGUGAGUGAUGAAGGUCUUCGGAUCGUAAAACUCUGUUAUUAGGGAAGAACAUAUGUGUAAGUAACUGUGCACAUCUUGACGGUACCUAAUCAGAAAGCCACGGCUAACUACAUG
Molecule: ribosomal RNA, 497 nt
Filed under: uncultured bacterium
Lineage: Bacteria
Description: partial 16S ribosomal RNA
Rfam family: Bacterial small subunit ribosomal RNA
Source: RNAcentral